This is a ribosomal RNA of Myotis lucifugus (little brown bat), 134 nucleotides long. NCBI's taxonomy places the organism in Eukaryota, Metazoa, Chordata, Mammalia, Chiroptera, Vespertilionidae. The record is from Ensembl.
AUCUGUGGCCAUACCUCUCUGAACACACCUCAUCUCAUCUGAUCGCUGAAGCUUAGUAGAGUUUGGCCAGGUUAGUGCUUGGAUAGAAGCCAAAGGGGAAGGGAAAAGAGAGCUAGUCCCGGUCUCUUUAAAUA